Eubalaena glacialis (North Atlantic right whale) is the source of this 3160-nucleotide RNA transcript. It is a transcript of the gene named G protein-coupled receptor 62, with no coding region annotated. The transcript has 4 exons. The record is from RefSeq and is a predicted model, not a curated record. Lineage: Eukaryota; Metazoa; Chordata; Mammalia; Artiodactyla; Balaenidae.
AUGGCCAACGCCACAGGGCUGAACGCACCAGAAGUCGCAGCCUCGAUGGGGUUGAUCCUGGCGGCUGUCGUGGAGGCGGCAGCACUGCUGGGCAACGGCGCACUGCUGGUUGUGGUGCUGCGCACGCCGGGACUACGCGACGCCCUCUACCUCGUGCACCUGUGCGUAGUGGACCUGCUGGCUGCCGGCUCCAUCAUGCCGCUGGGCCUGCUGGCCGCUCCGCCGCCGGGGCUGGGCCGCGUGCGCCUGGGCCCCGCGCCCUGCCGCGCGGCGCGCUUCCUCUCGGCGGCGCUGCUGCCCGCCUGUACGCUCGGCGUGGCGGCGCUCGGCCUGGCGCGCUACCGCCUCAUAGUGCACCCGCUGCGGCCUGGCGCGCGGCCUCCGCCCACCCUCGUGCUCACCGCCGUGUGGGCGGCGGCGGGGCUGCUGGGCGCGCUCUCCUUGCUCGGGCCGCCGCCCGCACCGCCCCCUGCCCCGGCUCGCUGCUCGGUCCUGGCCGGGGGCCUCGAGCCCUUCCGGCCGCUCUGGGCGCUGCUGGCCUUCGCGCUGCCCGCCCUCCUGCUGCUCGGAGCCUACGGCGGCAUCUUCCUCGUGGCGCGCCGCGCUGCCCUGCGGCCCCCGCGGCCCGCGCGCGGGUCCCGGCCGCGCUCCGACUCUCUGGACAGCCGCCUCUCCAUCUUGCCGCCCCUUCGGCCUCGCCCGCCCUGGGGCAAAGCAGCCCUGGCCCCGGCGCUGGCCGUGGGCCAGUUCGCAGCCUGCUGGCUGCCUUACGGCUGUGCGUGCCUAGCGCCCGCUGCCCAGGCCGCCGUGGCAGAGGCGGCCGUCACCUGGGUAGCCUACUCGGCCUUCGCGGCUCACCCCUUCCUGUACGGCCUGCUGCAGCGCCCUGUACGCCGGACGCUGGGCCGCCUCGCCCGACGAGUGCUACCCCGGCCCCCGCGGGCCUGCACUUCGCGGGCCUGGCACCCGCGGGCCCUCCUGCAGCACCUCCAUAGACCUCCAGAGGGCCCUGUGCUAGGCCCUUCUGGGACACCAGAACAAGCCCGGGAUUUGGCAGGAAGGGAGAGCCUGAGCAUGCCAGAGGCCACGUGAGAGAUGUCUCCCAAGGGACUGCUCACCUGGCACCAUGCUGGGUGAGGCGAAGGGGACUGCAUGGCCCGAGAGCUGCUGGAGCUUGGUGACCUGUGCCAAGAAGAGAGGUCAGGAGUCAGAGGCAGCUCAGUUCGGGAAGGGGUGCCUUGGGCUGCGGUCACUCACCUCAGCUGAGGUCACAGCCCCAUACUGACCCUGGACGGAGAAGCCCUGUGGGGACAAAGGCAGCACCUCCAGGAUGACAGCACAGAUCUGGCGCACACACAAGAUGAUGGCAUCAGGCACCCCAGAGACGGUGACAGCACGCUCUGUGGAGUUGGGGAGCAGGUCCCCUGCCACCUGCACCUGGGCACCUGUAGUCUGCAAGCAGAGAACGGGGGCCACUUCCAGCUACUCCCAUAACCCAGAGCAUGCCCAGGCUCGGAGCUCCCCACAGGACAGGAGGCUGUAAGCCCAGGUCUCCCCUCGAAACUGAAGGGAGCAGCGCAGAGGUCCUGGGCAGGAAGACUGGGUUGGCCGUGCAUGCCCCUGCUGCUCCCCCUCCCCUGGAGCACCUUCCUGCUGGGGGAUGAAGGAGGGAAGCCUGCCCGCGUCCCACUCCAAUGAGAGAACCCUGCUCUCAGCUUGGCCUUCCAUCCCACCCGUAGCCACUCUGUGGAGUCAGAGUCCUGUUCCUCCCGGGGAACCACCCGUGGCCCCCAGCCCCUCAGACAGCCACAGACCUCGUCCAGCUUGAAGGCAAUCAUGGAGACUGCAUGGAAGACGGCUGCUGUAGAUCCGGUGAUGGUGGUGAUGCGCUCAGGGCAGGAGCCCUCAGAGAUGGUGAUCCGGGCGCUGCUCUGUGGGUGCAGGACAAGCACCAGGCAACGGGGCUCCUUCUCUGCUUCCUGGCCAAGAACUUGCCUGCCCCUCCACUCACCAGGCCCCAGCCAAGGCUGGAAACGGCCACCUUCUAGGGGCACUCACUGGUCAUCCCAGAUGGUGGAUUGAGGGACAAGGUGAGGCAGGCAUCUCCCCUCCCCUCCAAACCAGGUGCCCUGGGCUCCUCUCCCAAACUCCGUCCUCACCUGUUCCCGGAUUCGCUUUACAGUCUCUCCUUUCUGCAGGAGACAAAAUGGAGGCAAAAUAGAGAAUGGCUCUUAGGCCAAGCAGCCGUUGCUUCCUUUCCUGGACUGAGGUCUCAGGUUGAAGGGGACAUACAGAACAGAACGAGGUACCUACCUUCCCAAUUAUGCUGCCCACUUCCUGCAAACAAGACAAGAGUGGAGUCAGCAGGGUAUCAAUACCCCAGGCCCAGCGCUUUCCCCUACUUGGGGUAGGGGCUCUGCAGGAGACAGGAUACCCAAGAUCAAACUCCCUCCCAGAGGACCAGGUCUUGCCUCGUCUUGCACUUUGCCCCCUCCUGAGCCACAGCGAAGCACUCCCCCACACGCACUUACUUUCCCAUGCAUCAGCAUCCGCAGCGUGAGGGUGAUGCUGAGCUCUGGCUCCUCCUCCAGCCCCGCAUCUGAGCCGCUCAUCCUGUCAGGCGGGGCUGGGGCCGAGGCUGCCUGGGAGUGCGUCCACGCUGUGGCCUGGCCGGCUCUGCGGGGGCAGUGGGAGAUGGGUUAGAGAAGAGCUCAGCUUUCUUUCAGGUCCCUUGCCCUUACAUGGGAACCCCAGAGCCAAGCUAGACAAACUUCCAGAGCAGAGAGACAGCGUGGACCACAAGUUUCAAGUGUCACAUUGACCAGUUUGCUGUGUGCAGCUCACUAGCUGUGUAAGCCUGGCUGACAUAUUUAACCCUUCUGAGCCUCAGCUUCCCCAUCUGUAAGAAGGGGAUACCCAGUCCAGUCCCCAGAGUUAUGAGAAUUAAAAUGAGAUAGGUGCAUAUGUGAUAGGCACCCAGUUUCCACAAGUAUCCUUCCCUUCCCCUCGUACGUCAGAAGAAUUAACUAUGGGAGUCCAGAGAGGGAGCCUCCUACCUGACCUCUUGGAAGAGGGGACCCUUGUGGAUUGGCCCUUGAAGGUUGGGUUAAAAUCGAAACGUUACUUCAGACAAGAGGCAUUUGCGUCCAGGGACCAGAGC